CUCCAAGAAAGGGUUAUUGUUGCCGCAUUUCUCUACUUACUGGAACAAGAACCCUUAUUUCUUGGAGGGGCCUGUGGAACUACGGUCACUCCAGACCUGCUUGGGAGCAUCACUUGCGUUAGGAGCUGUACUCGGAGGAUCUCUUUAAUGAUGUAGGCUGAGUCAGCCCAACCACCACUGAAGCCAGCUACCAGCCUGUGUGAUCACGUGAUAUGUGACUACAUCUUGGCUUGUGAUAAACGAUCACGUCUCUUGACCCACAGGAGUUUGUAACAUUUUUUGGUGUAUACUGAGUCAUUACUAUUGCACUGAACCAAAAGUUUCUGCAUGCAGGAAUUCCUGGGCAAGAAAGCCACCAACUCCUGCUGAAUCUUGGAUAGAAUGUUUUCUCCAGUGAGUAGGAGCAACUGGGUAAGUUUAGUUCCUUUAUCACGUGACCUGCUUAUAUUUAUCUACACUGGCAAGAAACACUUGAACUCUUACCACUAGCCAGAGACUAAGUUUCAUAGAUAUUCUAAGUAUCUAAUUUAAUCCUUUUGACAGUCAGAAGAAGGAGGUUCUAACAGUAUCCAUAUUUUACAAUAAGUAAACUAAGUCAUGGGGCUAAUAGACUGAAGGUCACAUACUAAUUAGGUGGUUUACUUUGUUUUUGUUUUCGUGUUUUGAGACAGGGUUUUACUCUGUUGCUCAGACUGGAGUACAGUAGCAUGAUCUCAGCUCACUGUAAACUCUGCCUCCCGGGUUCAAGCUAUUCUGCCUCAGCUUCCUGAGUAGCUUGGAUUGCAUGUCCCAGCCUGUCUCUUCCUAUCUGGAAGCUUCCUUGCAUCCCAGCCUCACCAACCAAGUCUCCGAGUCCCGGUUGAGAAGCCUCAUUUGGGUGGCGAUAAGAAAAUCAGACCUACAAUCAAACAAAAACCCUUUGCCUUCUGAGAAGUUUCAGGCAGGAGCAGAGAGAGUGUUUUAA
Molecule: long non-coding RNA, 964 nt
Filed under: Callithrix jacchus (white-tufted-ear marmoset)
Lineage: Eukaryota; Metazoa; Chordata; Mammalia; Primates; Cebidae
Description: lncRNA (ENSCJAG00000079601.1)
Source: RNAcentral